GAGAUAAGUGCUGAAAGCAUCUAAGCACGAAACUUGCCCCGAGAUGAGUUCUCCCUGAGACUUAGAGUCUCCUGAAGGAACGUUGAAGACGACGACGUUGAUAGGCCGGGUGUGUAAGCGCAGCGAUGCGUUGAGCUAACCGGUACUAAUGAACCGUGAGGCUUAACCUUACAACGCCGAAGCUGUU
This 187-nucleotide ribosomal RNA is filed under the name Salmonella enterica. RNAcentral's name for it is "partial 23S ribosomal RNA". It matches the Rfam family "Bacterial large subunit ribosomal RNA", at positions 2759 to 2925 of the family's 2925-position model. Lineage: Bacteria; Pseudomonadati; Pseudomonadota; Gammaproteobacteria; Enterobacterales; Enterobacteriaceae. The record is from RNAcentral.